RNAcentral lists this ribosomal RNA (794 nucleotides) under uncultured Methanosarcinaceae archaeon. Its description in RNAcentral is "bacterial SSU rRNA". It matches the Rfam family "Archaeal small subunit ribosomal RNA", at positions 85 to 879 of the family's 1478-position model. Lineage: Archaea; Methanobacteriati; Methanobacteriota; Methanomicrobia; Methanosarcinales; Methanosarcinaceae. The record is from RNAcentral.
ACGGCUCAGUAACACGUGGAUAACCUGCCCUUGGGUCCGGCAUAACCCCGGGAAACUGGGGAUAAUUCCGGAUAACGCAUAUGUGCUGGAAUGCUUUAUGCGUAAAAUGGAUUCGUCUGCCCAAGGAUGGGUCUGCGGCCUAUCAGGUAGUAGUGGGUGUAAUGUACCUACUAGCCGACAACGGGUACGGGUUGUGAGAGCAAGAGCCCGGAGAUGGAUUCUGAGACAUGAAUCCAGGCCCUACGGGGCGCAGCAGGCGCGAAAACUUUACAAUGCGGGAAACCGUGAUAAGGGGACACCGAGUGCCAGCAUCAUAUGCUGGCUGUCCAGGUGUGUAAAAUACACCUGUUAGCAAGGGCCGGGCAAGACCGGUGCCAGCCGCCGCGGUAACACCGGCGGCCCGAGUGGUGAUCGUGAUUAUUGGGUCUAAAGGGUCCGUAGCCGGUUUGGUCAGUCCUCCGGGAAAUCUGAUAGCUUAACUAUUAGGCUUUCGGGGGAUACUGCCAGACUUGGAACCGGGAGAGGUAAGAGGUACUACAGGGGUAGGAGUGAAAUCUUGUAAUCCCUGUGGGACCACCUGUGGCGAAGGCGUCUUACCAGAACGGGUUCGACGGUGAGGGACGAAGGCUGGGGGCACGAACCGGAUUAGAUACCCGGGUAGUCCCAGCCGUAAACGAUGCUCGCUAGGUGUCAGGCAUGGCGCGACCGUGUCUGGUGCCGCAGGAAAGCCGUGAAGCGAGCCACCUGGGAAGUACGGCCGCAAGGCUGAAACUUAAAGGAUUGGCGGGGAGCAC